UACGGAGGAUCCAAGCGUUAUCCGGAUUUAUUGGGUUUAAAGGGUGCGUAGGCGGAUUGAUAAGUUAGAGGUGAAAUGUCCGAGCUUAACUCGGGAACUGCCUCUAAUACUGUUGAUCUAGAGAGUAGAUGCGGUAGGCGGAAUGUAUGGUGUAGCGGUGAAAUGCUUAGAGAUCAUACAGAACACCGAUUGCGAAGGCAUCUCACGAAUCCGCUAUUGACGCUGAUGCACGAAAGCGUGGGUAUCAAACAGG
Molecule: ribosomal RNA, 253 nt
Filed under: uncultured bacterium
Lineage: Bacteria
Description: partial 16S ribosomal RNA
Rfam family: Bacterial small subunit ribosomal RNA
Source: RNAcentral